GAUGAACGCUAGCGGCAGGCCUAAUACAUGCAAGUCGAGGGGUAGAAGAGGCUUGCUUCUUUGAGACCGGCGCACGGGUGCGUAACGCGUAUGCAACCUACCUUCAUCUGGGGGAUAGCCCGGAGAAAUCCGGAUUAAUACAGCAUAAAAUCACAGGAUGGCAUUAUCCAAUGAUCAAACAUUUAUGGGAUGGAGAUGGGCAUGCGUGGCAUUAGCUAGUUGGCGGGGUAACGGCCACCAAGGCGACGAUGACUAGGGGAUCUGAGAGGAUGGCCCCCCACGCUGGUACUGAGACACGGACCAGACUCCUACGGGAGGCAGCAGUAAGGAAUAUUGGUCAAUGGAGGCAACUCUGAACCAGCCGUGCCGCGUGCAGGAAGACUGCCCUAUGGGUUGUAAACUGCUUUUAUUCGGGAAUAAACCUUAUUACGUGUAAUAAGCUGAAUGUACCGAAGGAAUAAGGAUCGGCUAACUCCGUGCCAGCAGCCGCAGUAA
Molecule: ribosomal RNA, 495 nt
Filed under: uncultured bacterium
Lineage: Bacteria
Description: partial 16S ribosomal RNA
Rfam family: Bacterial small subunit ribosomal RNA
Source: RNAcentral